ACCCAUAGCAAACCCUGUCAAUGUAAUACAUAUGGUAAAGCUUUAGGGUUCUGAUCAAUAUUCACUUAAUAUUAGAAAAUUUUUGGCAGAGAGAAAUGCUACAAAUGUGAAAAAUGUUGCAAAGACAGUAGGAUGUUUGCAGUUUUUACUAUACGAAGAAAGUUCAUACUACAAAGAGAUGUUACAAAUGUAAAGUAAAGUGGCAAAUGCAAUAAAAAUUUCUCAAACCUUACUGAAAAUAAGAAAGUUCAUACUGGAGAGAAAUACUACAAGUGGAAAGAAUGUGGCAAAAAGUUUACCUGUUCCUCAACCCAUAUUAAACUCAAGAGAAAUUGCACUGUAGAAAGACUUGACAAAUGCAAAGAAUGUAGCAAUGCCUUUAGAUGCUUCUCAGAACUUGCUAAACAUAAGAUAAUUCAUACUGGAGAGAAGCUGUACUAAUGGGAAGAAUGUUAUAAACCCUAUUAGUGGUUCUCAGACCUAAAUAAACAUAAGAUAAUUCAUCCUGGAAAUAAAUCUUACAAAUGUGAUAAAUGUUGAAAAGUUUUACGUGGUUCUUGACCCUUAGUAAACAUAAGAGAAUUCAUACUGUAGAGAAACCUUACAUCUGUGUAGAUGUGGCAAAGCCUUUACCUGCUCCUCAACCCUUAUUAACAACAAAAGUAUUCAUAUGGAAGAGAGCUUACAAAUGUGAAGAAUGUGAUAAAACAUUUCAGUGAUUCUCAGACCUUACUAAUCAUAAGAUAAUUCACACUGAACAGAAACCCCCCAAAAAUGUGAAGAGUGUGGAAAAGAAUUGAGCUUGUUUUCACACCUCAUU
This 820-nucleotide long non-coding RNA is filed under the name Homo sapiens (human). RNAcentral describes it as "non-protein coding lnc-AMELY-16:1". The record is from RNAcentral. Lineage: Eukaryota; Metazoa; Chordata; Mammalia; Primates; Hominidae.